AUUUGAAGAUCAAGUAAUCAACUAAGGAAAGAAAAUGGAGAAAGUGAAAGUGGGGGUGAUAAUAGCAAUGAAAGGCCAUCCAGGAACUGGAAAAAGCACAUUAGCAAAAUCAAUAGCAUCAUCUCUCAAAAUCCCUCUAAUCGACAAGGACGACAUCAAAGACUGUAUUACCACCCCCCUUAUUCAAACCACACCCCCUUCACUUCUCAACGAACUAUCAUACUCCGCCAUCUUUCAAAUCGCUUCAACUCAACUCCGCGUUGGUCUCAGCCUCAUCAUCGACUCUCCUCUCUCUCGUAGGUCCCACCUCGACCGUCUUCGAAGCCUCGCCGGUGAGUAUGGCGCAAGGGUUGUGAUUAUUGAGUGUAGGCCGGGAGAUAAGGGUUUGUGGAGGAGGAGGGUGGAGGAAAGAGGUGGUGGAGGGGGACAUAAGCCGGCGACGUGGGAGGAGCUGGAGAAGAUUGUGGAAGGGUAUGGGGGGUGCGAUGAGUAUGAUGUGGGGGGUGUGCCGAAGUUGGUGAUGGAUACGACGGAGGAUGUGGAUUUGGAGAAGCUGUGUUCUCAUGCUUUGGAGUUUAUCGAAGAUCAUGCUGUUAAGUCCUUGUGAUUUAGCCACGUGUCUUUCGUCGUUGAUGAUAAUAUUUGUUAGGAAUAUUGAGUAAGUAGUAUUUUUAAUACGGCUGAAAAGUUAUUAUACAAAUAAACAUGUACUAUAUUCUUGCCUCAAAAGAAAGAAGAAGAAAAAAAUGUAUACUUUGUACCCUUAAAAAAAAGAAUGCAUAUUUUGUAAUGUUUGCUUCAUUUUCUUGAAAAUAAUACUCCCUCCAUUUCAAAAUAAAUGUCGUUUUAGUUAAAAAAAAUUGUUUUAAAAUGAAUGUCACUUUCAGUUUCCAAUGCAAUUAAUAACUUUUUCUUUUCAAUUGUAUCCUUUAAUUAAUAUUAUGUUACACUACUUCCAAAAUAUUAUUUUUUUUCUUUAUUGAAAAACAAACUAAUAGUUGAUUAGAAUAAUUUGGUAAAAUUGUUACGACAUUUUACUACUUUAUUUCAUUCUUUAAUAUGUACGUAAUUGACUAAAGCGACACUCAUUUUAAAACGGAUGGAGUAUUAUUUUUUAAAAGGUGAAAGUGUUAACUCAUUCAAGAUUAGAAGUUCAACUCUUGCUAUAAUUUUAUUUGAUUGUAGUUUCUAUGUUGGAUAUAAAAAUUAUGUAGAUAAUUUAUC
This 1224-nucleotide long non-coding RNA is filed under the name Medicago truncatula (barrel medic). RNAcentral describes it as "long non-coding RNA (MTRU_LNC003645)". The record is from RNAcentral. Lineage: Eukaryota; Viridiplantae; Streptophyta; Magnoliopsida; Fabales; Fabaceae.